RNAcentral lists this transfer-messenger RNA (354 nucleotides) under Phocicoccus pinnipedialis. RNAcentral's name for it is "Jeotgalicoccus pinnipedialis transfer-messenger RNA, SsrA". It matches the Rfam family "transfer-messenger RNA". From Rfam's summary of the family: Bacterial tmRNA, also known as 10Sa RNA or SsrA, is named for its dual tRNA and mRNA-like properties. Its role is to liberate the mRNA from a stalled ribosome. Lineage: Bacteria; Bacillati; Bacillota; Bacilli; Caryophanales; Salinicoccaceae. The record is from RNAcentral.
GGGGACGUUCUGGAUUCGACAGGGGUUGGUUGAGCGUCUUAAGCGUGUCGGAGGUUUCGGCUUCGUCAACAACGAUACUCAGUUAAUAAUAACUGGCAAAAAUAAUAAUUUAGUAGCUGCUUAAUUGCCGCUACAUCAUCUCGUACGCUUUCCUGCGGCCUUCUGAGAUGAUUCAACUUUAGUAGGAUAUACACACUCUCUGCCGUCUGAAGCGGGUGUGAAGAAUUUAAUCAGACUAGCAUAGAUUCAGGUUUGUUCAGUACCACAGUCUAUGUGAACUUUAAACGAGAACUACACACGUAGAAAGAGACGAGGCAAGAUCCUUGGACGCGGGUUCAACUCCCGCCGUCUCCA